RNAcentral lists this ribosomal RNA (541 nucleotides) under uncultured Gallionellaceae bacterium. Its description in RNAcentral is "bacterial SSU rRNA". It matches the Rfam family "Bacterial small subunit ribosomal RNA", at positions 135 to 671 of the family's 1533-position model. Lineage: Bacteria; Pseudomonadati; Pseudomonadota; Betaproteobacteria; Nitrosomonadales; Gallionellaceae. The record is from RNAcentral.
AAUGGGGGAUAACGUAGCGAAAGUUACGCUAAUACCGCAUAUGCCCUGAGGGGGAAAGGUGGGGAUCGCAAGACCUAUCGUUUUCGGAGUGGCCGAUAUCAGAUUAGCUAGUUGGUGGGGUAAAGGCCCACCAAGGCGACGAUCUGUAGCGGGUCUGAGAGGAUGAUCCGCCACACUGGGACUGAGACACGGCCCAGACUCCUACGGGAGGCAGCAGUGGGGAAUUUUGGACAAUGGGGGCAACCCUGAUCCAGCCAUGCCGCGUGAGUGAAGAAGGCCUUCGGGUUGUAAAGCUCUCUCAGCCGGAAAGAAAUCGCGCAGGCUAAUAUCCUGUGUGGAUGACGGUACCGGAAGAAGAAGCACCGGCUAACUACGUGCCAGCAGCCGCGGUAAUACGUAGGGUGCGAGCGUUAAUCGGAAUUACUGGGCGUAAAGCGUGCGUAGGCGGUUUUGUAAGACAGGCGUGAAAUCCCCGGGCUUAACCUGGGAACUGCGUUUGUGACUGCAAGGCUAGAGUGUGGCAGAGGGGGGUAGAAUUCCG